UAUAUCAGACAACCAUUGUAUCAGACAACAUUAGAACUGAAUCAGUACUUUCAUUCAAAUUCUAUUACAAUAUUAUAUCAGACAACAUAAAAACAUAACCUAAAACCUAAUUAACCUACAACAUAUUUCAUCAAUGUUGUCCCAACAAAUGCAAACAAAAUAACAAACAAUAACAUCCAAUUAAUCUUCAACUGUUUCUUCAACAUCUUCACUUUCAUAUUCAAUUCUUCC
Molecule: long non-coding RNA, 231 nt
Filed under: Lathyrus oleraceus (garden pea)
Lineage: Eukaryota; Viridiplantae; Streptophyta; Magnoliopsida; Fabales; Fabaceae
Description: Pisum sativum (pea) long non-coding RNA (PSAT_LNC000239)
Source: RNAcentral